GGGGAUAUAGCUUAAUGGUAGAGCACUUGCCUAGCAUAUGAGGCCAUGGGUUCAAUCCCCAUCACCA
RNAcentral lists this transfer RNA (67 nucleotides) under Heterocephalus glaber (naked mole-rat). It matches the Rfam family "tRNA". Rfam says of the family: Transfer RNA (tRNA) molecules are approximately 80 nucleotides in length. Their secondary structure includes four short double-helical elements and three loops (D, anti-codon, and T loops). Further hydrogen bonds mediate the characteristic L-shaped molecular structure. tRNAs have two regions of fundamental functional importance: the anti-codon, which is responsible for specific mRNA codon recognition, and the 3' end, to which the tRNAs corresponding amino acid is attached (by aminoacyl-tRNA synthetases). tRNAs cope with the degeneracy of the genetic code in two manners: having more than one tRNA (with a specific anti-codon) for a particular amino acid; and 'wobble' base-pairing, i.e. permitting non-standard base-pairing at the 3rd anti-codon position. Lineage: Eukaryota; Metazoa; Chordata; Mammalia; Rodentia; Bathyergidae. The record is from Rfam by way of RNAcentral.